Molecule: transfer RNA, 56 nt
Filed under: Araneus ventricosus
Lineage: Eukaryota; Metazoa; Arthropoda; Arachnida; Araneae; Araneidae
Description: tRNA-Ser
Source: RNAcentral
GACUUUAUAUAAAAAUGUUUUGAAAGCAUUUUACAAGAUAAGUAUCUUUGAAGUCA